GCCUUCGUGGUGUAGUUGUCAGCACACUCAGCUCGUAUUCGAGAAGUCCAAGUUUGAGUCCCAGCGAGGGUA
RNAcentral lists this transfer RNA (72 nucleotides) under Stegodyphus mimosarum. It matches the Rfam family "tRNA". Rfam says of the family: Transfer RNA (tRNA) molecules are approximately 80 nucleotides in length. Their secondary structure includes four short double-helical elements and three loops (D, anti-codon, and T loops). Lineage: Eukaryota; Metazoa; Arthropoda; Arachnida; Araneae; Eresidae. The record is from Rfam by way of RNAcentral.